UACGUAGGGUGCGAGCGUUAAUCGGAAUUACUGGGCGUAAAGUGUGCGCAGGCGGCAAAGCAAGUCGAGUGUGAAAGCCCCCGGGCUUAACUUGGGAAUUGCGCUCGAAACUACUUUGCUGGAGUGUGGCAGAGGAAGGUGGAAUUCCACGUGUAGCGGUGAAAUGACGUAGAGAUGUGGAGGAACACCAAUGGCGAAGGCAGCCUUC
Molecule: ribosomal RNA, 208 nt
Filed under: uncultured bacterium
Lineage: Bacteria
Description: partial 16S ribosomal RNA
Rfam family: Bacterial small subunit ribosomal RNA
Source: RNAcentral